UGGUCUGUGGCUUAGUUAGUUAAAGCGUCGGCCCAGCCAUACGGAGUCAUGGGUUCGAAUCCCACCAAAACAA
Aedes albopictus (Asian tiger mosquito) is the source of this 73-nucleotide non-coding RNA. The record is from Rfam. NCBI's taxonomy places the organism in Eukaryota, Metazoa, Arthropoda, Insecta, Diptera, Culicidae.